This 254-nucleotide ribosomal RNA is filed under the name uncultured bacterium. RNAcentral describes it as "partial 16S ribosomal RNA". It matches the Rfam family "Bacterial small subunit ribosomal RNA", at positions 524 to 776 of the family's 1533-position model. The record is from RNAcentral.
UACGUAGGCAGCAAGCGUUGUUCGGAGUUACUGGGCGUAAAGAGUGCGUAGGUGGUGCCCUAAGUCUGUUGUGAAAUCUCCCGGCUUGAACUGGGAGGGUGCGGUGGAAACUGGGGUGCUUGAGUGUGGGAGAGGUAAGCGGAAUUCCUGGUGUAGCGGUGAAAUGCGUAGAUAUCAGGAGGAACACCGGUGGUGUAGACGGCUUACUGGACCACGACUGACACUGAGGCACGAAAGCGUGGGUAGCAAACAGG